This 503-nucleotide ribosomal RNA is filed under the name uncultured bacterium. RNAcentral's name for it is "partial 16S ribosomal RNA". It matches the Rfam family "Bacterial small subunit ribosomal RNA", at positions 30 to 523 of the family's 1533-position model. The record is from RNAcentral.
AUUAAACGCUGGCGGCAGGCUUAACACAUGCAAGUCGAGCGGGGUGAUGGUGCUUGCACUAUCACUUAGCGGCGGACGGGUGAGUAAUGCUUAGGAAUCUGCCUAUUAGUGGGGGACAACAUCUCGAAAGGGAUGCUAAUACCGCAUACGUCCUACGGGAGAAAGCAGGGGAUCACUUGUGACCUUGCGCUAAUAGAUGAGCCUAAGUCGGAUUAGCUAGUUGGUGGGGUAAAGGCCUACCAAGGCGACGAUCUGUAGCGGGUCUGAGAGGAUGAGCCGCCACACUGGGACUGAGACACGGCCCAGACUCCUACGGGAGGCAGCAGUGGGGAAUAUUGGACAAUGGGGGGAACCCUGAUCCAGCCAUGCCGCGUGUGUGAAGAAGGCCUUAUGGUUGUAAAGCACUUUAAGCGAGGAGGAGGCUCUUUUGGUUAAUACCCAAGAUGAGUGGACGUUACUCGCAGAAUAAGCACCGGCUAACUCUGUGCCAGCCGCCGCGGUAA